AAACUCCGCGUAUUCUUCACUGGAUUAUCACACAUAUUCUGCGUCCAACAAACAGCGGACACUCUCGGUUGGAUAGGCCUAGCAUACAUCUUCUCUACAUUCUGCAAAAUAAGGUUCUCCUAAAUUGGGCGAACUACUUUGUAAAACGUCUAUUCUUUGUGCGAGACAGCUCCAAGAAUGUGGCUCUAGGUUAUGCCUCUCAAAUAAUGAAAAUUCUUAAGUUUUGGAAAGUUG
RNAcentral lists this long non-coding RNA (234 nucleotides) under Lathyrus oleraceus (garden pea). RNAcentral describes it as "Pisum sativum (pea) long non-coding RNA (PSAT_LNC000837)". The record is from RNAcentral. Lineage: Eukaryota; Viridiplantae; Streptophyta; Magnoliopsida; Fabales; Fabaceae.